This 473-nucleotide ribosomal RNA is filed under the name uncultured organism. RNAcentral's name for it is "partial 16S ribosomal RNA". It matches the Rfam family "Bacterial small subunit ribosomal RNA", at positions 333 to 797 of the family's 1533-position model. The record is from RNAcentral.
ACACUCCUACGGGAGGCAGCAGUGGGGAAUUUUGGACAAUGGGCGAAAGCCUGAUCCAGCAAUGCCGCGUGCAGGAUGAAGGCCUUCGGGUUGUAAACUGCUUUUGUACGGAACGAAAAAGCUCCUUCUAAUACAGGGGGCCCAUGACGGUACCGUAAGAAUAAGCACCGGCUAACUACGUGCCAGCAGCCGCGGUAAUACGUAGGGUGCGAGCGUUAAUCGGAAUUACUGGGCGUAAAGCGUGCGCAGGCGGUUAUGUAAGACAGAUGUGAAAUCCCCGGGCUCAACCUGGGAACUGCAUUUGUGACUGCAUGGCUAGAGUACGGUAGAGGGGGAUGGAAUUCCGCGUGUAGCAGUGAAAUGCGUAGAUAUGCGGAGGAACACCGAUGGCGAAGGCAAUCCCCUGGACCUGUACUGACGCUCAUGCACGAAAGCGUGGGGAGCAAACAGGAUUAGAAACCCCAGUAGUCCCA